This 253-nucleotide ribosomal RNA is filed under the name uncultured bacterium. RNAcentral's name for it is "partial 16S ribosomal RNA". It matches the Rfam family "Bacterial small subunit ribosomal RNA", at positions 524 to 776 of the family's 1533-position model. The record is from RNAcentral.
UACGGAGGGGACUAGCGUUGUUCGGAAUUACUGGGCGUAAAGCGCGCGUAGGCGGAUUUGCAAGUCGGGGGUGAAAUCCCGGGGCUCAACCUCGGAACUGCCUUUGAUACUGCAAAUCUCGAGUCCGGAAGAGGUGAGUGGAAUUCCUAGUGUAGAGGUGAAAUUCGUAGAUAUUAGGAAGAACACCAGUGGCGAAGGCGGCUCACUGGUCCGGUACUGACGCUGAGGUGCGAAAGCGUGGGGAGCAAACAGG